Long non-coding RNA from Hevea brasiliensis (rubber tree), 1081 nucleotides. RefSeq lists it as uncharacterized. NCBI's taxonomy places the organism in Eukaryota, Viridiplantae, Streptophyta, Magnoliopsida, Malpighiales, Euphorbiaceae. The transcript has 2 exons. The record is from RefSeq and is a predicted model, not a curated record.
UGAGCUCCUCUUCGUUAGACCACCAUCACUGCCACUUCUAAACCCUCACACAUUCUCCAACACUACUAGGCUCAUUGCCUCUAUUGGCGUGAAGAACUUCUGGUCUACUUCACCAACCGGCGGCGUCAGAAUUAAUGUCGAAGACGAGCUAUAAGCCGGCGACGAUGACGGUUUGGACAAGUUCGGGUUCAGUGAUGGUGCAAAUCAUAGAAUCUAGUAGUCUAAUGAUAACGAAGAUAGUUGGAUCAAUGAUGAUGAGGAGAAUGAGUUAUGGAUUUUCAAGGUAAUUAGACCUUUCGGUUGGAUGGUUCCUGCCAUUGGUACUUCAUUGCUACUGGGAAUAGGCCCUAAAUCUUUCUUCAUUGCAUUAGCUGUUCCAUUAGGACUGGCAACACUCUCUCUUUUGUGAUUGAUAAGAUGUGGGAAGUAAACCAGGAGGACUAAGAAGUUUGGUGGGUGGGAUGAGCUAGAUAUGCUGAUAAGGUUCCAAGAGAGACAACAAGAAAGAAGGCAGAUGAGCUCCCAAAGCAACAAAACAAAGGCAAAUUGAGCCGGACAAGAAGUGUCAGGGACACACUAUUACUGCUUAGGCUACUGAUUGCUGUUUUUCCCUUAUUGGGCUCUUGGCAAAGUUACUAUUUUGGUUCUGUUUUGCCCUUUGUAGAACCUAAGCAACCUAUUUGCUUACAAGUGGUUACAGAGAAACUUGUCACCAGUUUGCAGGGAUAGUUGACCAUUUAACUCUAGAGGCUUUUGCAUGCUGGGAAGCAAUCUGAAUGUCUACAUUGAGAGGUUUUUCUUGCAUCCUGGUAGAAGGGAAUUCUUUAGUUACCAUCCAAGCCUUGCACCACAGAGUAGAUUGCACUCUGUCCAUUGCAGGAAAUAUUUCUGAUGUAAUGCAGCUAAUUUCAAAUUUUGGGAUUACUCAAUUUGUUUAUGUCAACAUGAUGAGGAAUAUGGCAGCCCAUAGUGUAGCUAAACGAUGUUUGCUCCAUGAUUCCUCUAUAUAAUCCUUGAUGGAAAUUUCCCUUGUAACUUCUUUUAUGCCUGUGGAGAAGAAUACACCAGCUUGGUUGCUAAA